UAUAUAUAUAUAUAUAUAUACUAUAUGUAUGUAUGCACAGGUUACCAUGGGUGUAGCCCCUGUUCUCCAGGAUGUGGACUUGAAGGUUUAAGAGAACUGCAGAUGGUACGCAACACUGCGGCAUCUCUCCAUAAAUCAAAAAUCAAAAGGCCGUUGCUGUUGGAAUAUUUCACUUACGCUUUACUCUGGUGUCAUUAUUUAGAUUUAUUAAUGAGGAAUUAUGUUGAAGUCAAGCUUUAAUUUCCUGCACAAGAACCUGUUUUACUUAGGUCUGUUUUUUCUGUUGGUACAAUGAACACGCCGGCACACCGUUAAAAGGUUUGAAUCAUCCAGAAUAACAUCAUGUGCUUUAGUGUUAAAAGAUGGUCUUUUAAGGCUGACGUGCAGAGAUAAAUACACACUAAAUGAAAAUAAAGUUAUUGAGAUUUCUUUGUACAUAAAGUUACACAUUAAACAACAAAUGAACACACACACACA
This is a long non-coding RNA of Sander lucioperca (pikeperch), 477 nucleotides long. RefSeq lists it as uncharacterized. The transcript is spliced from 2 exons. The record is from RefSeq and is a predicted model, not a curated record. Lineage: Eukaryota; Metazoa; Chordata; Actinopteri; Perciformes; Percidae.